Molecule: ribosomal RNA, 492 nt
Filed under: uncultured bacterium
Lineage: Bacteria
Description: partial 16S ribosomal RNA
Rfam family: Bacterial small subunit ribosomal RNA
Source: RNAcentral
AUUGAACGCUGGCGGCAUGCUUUACACAUGCAAGUCGAACGGUAACACGCCUUCGUUUGCUGACGAGUGGCGGACGGGUGAGUAAUGCAUCGGAACGUGCCCAGAGGUUGGGGAUAACGCAGCGAAAGCUGUGCUAAUACCGCAUGUGAUCUGAGGAUGUAAUCGGGGGACCAAGCAGCAAUGUUUGGCCUCUCGCCUCUGGACCGGCCGCUGUCGGACUAGGUAGUUGGGGGGGUAAAGACCUACCAAGCCGACGAUCUGUAGCUGGUCUGAGAGGACGGCCGGCCACACUGGAACUGAGACACGGACCAGACUCCUACGGGAGGCAGCAGUGGGGAACUUUAGACAAUGGGCGCAAGCCUGACCCAGCAAUGCCGCGUGCGGGACGAAGGCCUUCGGGUUGUAAACAGCUUUUGUACGGAACGAAAAGGUUCUGGCUAAUACCUGGGGCUGAUGACGGUAACGGAAGAAGAAGCACCGGCUAACUACGUG